Molecule: ribosomal RNA, 1053 nt
Filed under: uncultured crenarchaeote
Lineage: Archaea; Thermoproteati; Thermoproteota
Description: bacterial SSU rRNA
Rfam family: Archaeal small subunit ribosomal RNA
Source: RNAcentral
GUGAGGUAACGGAUCACCAAGCCGAUAAUCGAUAGGGGCCGUGAGAGCGGUUGCCCCGAGAUGGGUACUGAGACAGCGACCCAGGCCUUACGAGGCGCAGCAGGCGCGAGACCUCCGCAAUACACGCAAGUGUGACGGGGUUACCCAAAGUGUCCUUAUUGGACUGUGGCGGGUGAGUAAUGUUCCCCGCUAGAAAGGAGAGGGCAAGGCUGGUGCCAGCCGCCGCGGUAAAACCAGCUCUUCAAGUGGUCGGGAUAAUUAUUGGGCUUAAAGUGUCCGUAGCCGGUUUAGUAAGUUCCUGGUAGAACCGGGCAGCUUAACUGUCCGUAUGCUAGGAAUACUGCUAUGCUAGAGGGCGGGAGAGGUCUGAGGUACUACAGGGGUACGGGUGAAAUCUUAUAAUCCUUGUAGGACCACCAGUGGCGAAAGCGUCAGACUGGAACGCGCCUGACGGCGAGGGACGAAAGCCAGGGGAGCGAACCGGAUUAGAUACCCGGGUAGUCCUGGCCGUAAACGAUGCAUACUAGGCAAUGGUGCGGCCAUGAGCCGCAUCAGUACCGUAGGGAAACCGUUAAGUGUGCCGCCUGGGAAGUACGGUCGCAAGGCUAAAACUUAAAGGAAUUGGCGGGGGAGCACCACAAGGGGUGAAGCCUGCGGUUCAAUUGGACUCAACGCCGGGAAACUUACCAGGGGAGACAGCAGAAUGACAGUCAGGUUGACGACCUUACUCGACGAGCUGAGAGGAGGUGCAUGGCCGUCGCCAGUUCGUGCUGUGAGGUAUCCUGUUAAGUCAGGCAACGAACGAGAUCCGCGCCUUUAUUUGCCAUCAAGAAGUCACGACUUUGUUGGGACAAUAAAGGGACCGCCGUCGAUAAGACGGAGGAAGGAGCGGGCAAAGGCAGGUCAGUAUGCCCCGAAACCCCUGGGCUACACGCGGGCUGCAAUGGUGCGAACAAUGGGCUGUAACUCCGAAAGGAGAAACCAAUCCCGAAAUCGCAUCUCAGUGGGGAUUGUCGACUGUAACUCGUUGACAUGAACGUGGAAUCCCUAGUA